Molecule: ribosomal RNA, 1332 nt
Filed under: uncultured bacterium
Lineage: Bacteria
Description: bacterial SSU rRNA
Rfam family: Bacterial small subunit ribosomal RNA
Source: RNAcentral
GACGAACGCUGGCGGCGCGCCUAACACAUGCAAGUCGAACGAGCGAGAUUUAGCUUGCUUUCUCGAGCGAGUGGCGAACGGGUGAGUAACGCGUGAGGAACCUGCCUCAAAGAGGGGGACAACAGUUGGAAACGACUGCUAAUACCGCAUAAGCCCACGGGUCGGCAUCGACCAGAGGGAAAAGGAGCAAUCCGCUUUGAGAUGGCCUCGCGUCCGAUUAGCUAGUUGGUGAGGUAACGGCCCACCAAGGCAACGAUCGGUAGCCGGACUGAGAGGUUGAACGGCCACAUUGGGACUGAGACACGGCCCAGACUCCUACGGGAGGCAGCAGUGGGGAAUAUUGCACAAUGGGGGAAACCCUGAUGCAGCGACGCCGCGUGGAGGAAGAAGGUCUUCGGAUUGUAAACUCCUGUUGUUGGGGAAGAUAAUGACGGUACCCAACAAGGAAGUGACGGCUAACUACGUGCCAGCAGCCGCGGUAAAACGUAGGUCACAAGCGUUGUCCGGAAUUACUGGGUGUAAAGGGAGCGCAGGCGGGAAGACAAGUUGGAAGUGAAAUCUAUGGGCUCAACCCAUAAACUGCUUUCAAAACUGUUUUUCUUGAGUAGUGCAGAGGUAGGCGGAAUUCCCGGUGUAGCGGUGGAAUGCGUAGAUAUCGGGAGGAACACCAGUGGCGAAGGCGGCCUACUGGGCACCAACUGACGCUGAGGCUCGAAAGUGUGGGUAGCAAACAGGAUUAGAUACCCUGGUAGUCCACACCGUAAACGAUGAUUACUAGGUGUUGGAGGAUUGACCCCUUCAGUGCCGCAGUUAACACAAUAAGUAAUCCACCUGGGGAGUACGACCGCAAGGUUGAAACUCAAAGGAAUUGACGGGGGCCCGCACAAGCAGUGGAGUAUGUGGUUUAAUUCGACGCAACGCGAAGAACCUUACCAAGUCUUGACAUCCCUUGACAGACAUAGAAAUAUGUAUUCUCUUCGGAGCAAGGAGACAGGUGGUGCAUGGUUGUCGUCAGCUCGUGUCGUGAGAUGUUGGGUUAAGUCCCGCAACGAGCGCAACCCUUAUGGUCAGUUACUACGCAAGAGGACUCUGGCCAGACUGCCGUUGACAAAACGGAGGAAGGUGGGGAUGACGUCAAAUCAUCAUGCCCUUUAUGACUUGGGCUACACACGUACUACAAUGGCGUUAAACAAAGAGAAGCAAGACCGCGAGGUGGAGCAAAACUCAGAAACAACGUCCCAGUUCGGACUGCAGGCUGCAACUCGCCUGCACGAAGUCGGAAUUGCUAGUAAUCGUGGAUCAGCAUGCCACGGUGAAUACGUUCCCGGGCCU